GUGGUAUAUAGCUAUGACGCGGGCUGGACCUCUCGGGGUUACAGCCUUGCUGAAUUAUUCACCCUUGUCUUUUGCGUACUUCUUGUUUCCUUGGUGGGUUCGCCCACCACUAGGACAAACAUAAACCUUUUGUAAUUGCAAUCAGCGUCAGUAACAAAUUAAUAAUUACAACUUUCAACAACGGAUCUCUUGGUUCUGGCAUCGAUGAAGAACGCAGCGAAAUGCGAUAAGUAGUGUGAAUUGCAGAAUUCAGUGAAUCAUCGAAUCUUUGAACGCACAUUGCGCCCUUUGGUAUUCCAAAGGGCAUGCCUGUUCGAGCGUCAUUUGUACCCUCAAGCUUUGCUUGGUGUUGGGCGUCUUGUCUCUAGCUUUGCUGGAGACUCGCCUUAAAGUAAUUGGCAGCCGGCCUACUGGUUUCGGAGCGCAGCACAAGUCGCACUCUCUAUCAGCAAAGGUCUAGCAUCCAUUAAGCCUUUUUUUCAACUUUUGACCUCGGAUCAGGUAGGGAUACCCGCUGAACUUAAGCAUAUCAU
This 533-nucleotide ribosomal RNA is filed under the name Alternaria alternata. Its description in RNAcentral is "eukaryotic LSU rRNA". The stretch from base 170 to 323 matches the Rfam family "5.8S ribosomal RNA". Lineage: Eukaryota; Fungi; Ascomycota; Dothideomycetes; Pleosporales; Pleosporaceae. The record is from RNAcentral.